Molecule: ribosomal RNA, 406 nt
Filed under: uncultured bacterium
Lineage: Bacteria
Description: partial 16S ribosomal RNA
Rfam family: Bacterial small subunit ribosomal RNA
Source: RNAcentral
AUUGAACGCUGGCGGCAGGCCUAACACAUGCAAGUCGAGCGCGAGGCGGACGGGGGAGUGAUGUCUGGGAAACUGUCCGAUGGAGGGGGAUAACUACUGGAAACGGUAGCUCAAACACCAUACCCUCAGGUGUGCCCACAUGGGAUUAGCGCGUGGGUGGGGUAAUGGCUCACCUAGGCGACGAUCCCUAGCUGGUCUGAGAGGAUGACCAGCCACACUGGAACUGAGACACGGUCCAGACUCCUACGGGAGGCAGCAGUGGGGAAUAUUGCACAAUGGGCGCAAGCCUGAUGCAGCCAUGCCGCGUGUGUGAAGAAGGCCUUCGGGUUGUAAAGCACUUUCAGCGGGGAGGCGUUACCCGCAGAAGAAGCACCGGCUAACUCCGUGCCAGCAGCCGCGGUAAUUC